CUUUUCAGCACAUGUAUUUUUACAUGCACAUAUAGGAUCCUACCUGGUUUCCCUGCUACAUUCUUGUGAGGUGGCUGACUUGGCAGAUACAAACUGUGAGAAGAGAUCACUCCUCCGAAAUGCUGUUGGAACUGAAAAUUCAACCUAUGGGUACAAGGUCCUAUGCCAUUGUAUAUGGAUUUAUCUGAGACAUCUGUGGCAGAAUGUAAUUCAAAGGGAAGAUGCUCCUGCCAAGCUGUUGCAACUGUUCUGGUGGUGAGUG
This is a non-coding RNA of Ictidomys tridecemlineatus (thirteen-lined ground squirrel), 262 nucleotides long. Lineage: Eukaryota; Metazoa; Chordata; Mammalia; Rodentia; Sciuridae. The record is from RefSeq and is a predicted model, not a curated record.